UACGAAGGGGGCGAGCGUUGUUCGGAUUUACUGGGCGUAAAGGGCGCGUAGGCGGCCCCUCAAGUCAGGCGUGAAAGCCCCGGGCUCAACCUGGGAGGUGCGCUUGGGACUGGGGGGCUGGAGUUCGGGAGAGGAGCGUGGAAUUCCCAGUGUAGAGGUGAAAUUCGUAGAUAUUGGGAAGAACACCGGUGGCGAAGGCGGCGCUCUGGACCGAGACUGACGCUGAGGCGCGAAGGCGUGGGGAGCAAACAGG
Molecule: ribosomal RNA, 253 nt
Filed under: uncultured bacterium
Lineage: Bacteria
Description: partial 16S ribosomal RNA
Rfam family: Bacterial small subunit ribosomal RNA
Source: RNAcentral